RNAcentral lists this ribosomal RNA (300 nucleotides) under uncultured bacterium. RNAcentral's name for it is "bacterial SSU rRNA". It matches the Rfam family "Bacterial small subunit ribosomal RNA", at positions 334 to 651 of the family's 1533-position model. The record is from RNAcentral.
UGGUCCUACGGGGGGCAGCAGUGAGGAAUAUUGGUCAAUGGGCUUACGCCUGAACCAGCCAAGUCGCGUGAGUGAAGAAGUAAUUCGUUAUGUAAAGCUCUAUCAGCAGGGAAGAAAAUGACGGUACCUGAGUAAGAAGCCCCGGCUAACUACGUGCCAGCAGCCGCGGUAAUACGUAGGGGGCAAGCGUUAUCCGGAUUUACUGGGUGUAAAGGGAGCGUAGACGGCAGUGCAAGUCUGGAGUGAAAGGCGGGGGCUCAACCCCCGGACUGCUCUGGAAACUGAACGGCUGGAGUGCAG